Molecule: ribosomal RNA, 255 nt
Filed under: uncultured bacterium
Lineage: Bacteria
Description: partial 16S ribosomal RNA
Rfam family: Bacterial small subunit ribosomal RNA
Source: RNAcentral
UACGUAGGGUGCAAGCGUUAAUCGGAAUUACUGGGCGUAAAGCGUGCGCAGGCGGUUUUGUAAGUCUGAUGUGAAAUCCCCGGGCUCAACCUGGGAAUUGCAUUGGAGACUGCAAGGCUAGAAUCUGGCAGAGGGGGGGUAGAAUUCCACGUGUAGCAGUGAAAAUGCGUAGAGAUGUGGAGGAACACCGAUGGCGAAGGCAGCCCCCUGGGUCAAAACUGACGCUCAUGCACGAAAGCGUGGGGAGCAAACAGG